GACGAACGCUGGCGGCGUGCUUAACACAUGCAAGUCGAACGGAAAGGCCCUGCUUUCGGGGGAUGCGAGAGUGGAGAAGGGGAGUGAAACACGUGAGAUACGUGCCCUUGAUUUGGGGAAAACUUGAGGAAAGUGGGGAUAAUAGGAGAUGAGAGAUCCUGAUGCAUGGGGGGGGAAGGAAAGUUUGGGAGGUUGGGGAUGGACGCGCGGCUUGUCAGCUGGUGGGUUGGGUAGUGGCUUACCAAGGCUUGGACGGGUAGCCGGCCUGAGAGGGUGACCGGCCACAUUGGGACUGAGAUACGGCCCAGACUCCUACGGGAGGCAGCAGUGGGGAAUAUUGCACAAUGGGCGGAAGCCUGAUGCAGCAACGCCGCGUGCGGGAUGACGGCCUUCGGUUUGAAAACCGUUUCCGCCUGUAACGAACCUUGUGUGACGGUAAUUGGUAAAGAAGCACCGGCUAACUACGUG
RNAcentral lists this ribosomal RNA (468 nucleotides) under uncultured bacterium. RNAcentral's name for it is "partial 16S ribosomal RNA". It matches the Rfam family "Bacterial small subunit ribosomal RNA", at positions 28 to 507 of the family's 1533-position model. The record is from RNAcentral.